GAUAACCUGUAACGGCGCCGACGUCGACGGCAGCGAUCUCUAAACUAUGUGUUUUAUCCUUCAAACUUAUACCGUAACCGGCUUCUCAAAAAUCAAAAUAGGGGCAUAGGACCAAAGGAAACUGAUCGGGGACCGCUCGAAAAAGAAAGCUUGGAAAGUUUGUACAGUGAAAGUUGGUAUAUACGGUGAGCAUCAUCAGUAAGAAAAACUGCGAAACACCUUCUCAGUACGGAGUACAGUGAAGAGAUAAUUGAGUGUUGGAAUCCAUUACAGGCAUUGGAGAGGCGUUUGAAAAAGAGGAAAUUGAUUACGUAGUAUGCAGAAGUCCGCUAAGUUUUCAAUCGACUAUGAAUAUAAGCAAGACACGUUGAUCUUCGCAUUGGAUACUGAUACAAAUAGCGGGCAGUAAAAUUGCCAGGAGACACAGAAUUUGUAUAUACUGGCACGAUAUCUAUUUGGUGUAAUACUGUGCUGCCAUUAUAUAGAAUAACUUGUAUGGCCAUUGAUUCAAUUAUAUCUUAGCUUAAAAUAUAUUCGUGUACUUUUAGAAGCUGGUUUAGCCGUGUAACUAAUCAGCAUCUUAGAUGCCUUAGUUUCUCGUAGCGCGGAACUUGGAUAACUUUCCAAGAUUUCACAAACUGACGUCAGACGUUGUAACUGAAAUGUAAACUCCAACGCAAUGUACAAAACAUUUUUUUCGUUUUAUUAUCAUAUCUAGCGCAGCAAAUUCGGCACCAAUCGCAGUUAUUUAGUGUCGCUUUUAUUUAACUCACUGACUAUAAGGAUAAACAUUAAAUAAAGGAUUCGUUCUCGUAGAUCGUUUACUAUAACGACGACUAUCGUACAGAUCGAUCUCUAAAGUUGAAACCACGUCGAACACGACACAAUUACGCGGUUUUUCGCGAACUUGUGACGUAUUACGUCUGAUGCAGUCGCAUAGAUACCGUACUUCCAAUUAAUUUUAGACAAUACAUAUUUUUCGAAUAGAGCUUACUGGAUAAGUAGUCUAACUUAAAAACGACCUCUUCUAAAAUCUCUCUUGUAAAAUGAUCACAAAUAAUAAACAAUUGCCAAUAACGAGGUGUAAAAAUUCUCAAGAUAUAGAGGCUCAUUCUAUAAAAGCCUUUGUUUCGCAUCUGGUAUUAAAUAAAAAUCCAGUCUUCCGCCAACGGUUCGUUGCGUAUGUACGAGAUGUUCUAUGCGACUCCUGUUUUCUUUAUUACGGAAUGCUCUCUGGUCACGACUCGCUCUUCGACGGCAGCGGCCUUCGCUGUACGAGGCAUGAAGACAACGGACAUCAGACUUCAGCCAAGUUUCGGUUUGCCACAGCAGCAAUGGCGGCGGUAGUAGCACCGCCACUGGCACCGAGGUCUUUCUACCGUUAGCGUGCUUUAUUCCGAACAAGCCUCGUCGGCUAGCCGGGGCAUACGGAAACUAAUUGGCCAAAUUUCCAACAGCCCUUACUACCUCACACUCGGGCCGAACGCAGUGAUGUUUUGGCAUGACGGCAAUUUUGCCGCUCCUGCAGUGACCCCACGACCUCCUCGAGUCACGAUCGGAUUGCGGAGUUGAUGUCGGUGCUGGCCGUAGAUAAAUAAUUCAGUCGAUUUAUCUGUGACUCAGUUCACUGACGUCUUCAGUUGGUGUCGUUGCACUCCACAGUUACAGCCAUUAUA
Molecule: long non-coding RNA, 1676 nt
Filed under: Varroa destructor (honeybee mite)
Lineage: Eukaryota; Metazoa; Arthropoda; Arachnida; Mesostigmata; Varroidae
Description: uncharacterized LOC111253685, transcript variant X2
Source: RNAcentral